GUCCACGCUGUAAACGAUGGGCACUAGGUGUUCGGGGUAUUGACCCCCUGAGUGCCGCAGCUAACGCAUUAAGUGCCCCGCCUGGGGACUACGGCCGCAAGGCUAAAAACUCAAAGGAAUUGACGGGGGCCCGCACAAGCGGUGGAGCAUGUGGUUUAAUUCGACGCAACGCGAAGAACCUUACCUGGGCUAGACAACACCGGACAACCCCGGAAACGGGGUCUUCCCGCAAGGGACUGGUGGUUCAGGUGCUGCAUGGCUGUCGU
This 266-nucleotide ribosomal RNA is filed under the name uncultured bacterium. Its description in RNAcentral is "partial 16S ribosomal RNA". It matches the Rfam family "Bacterial small subunit ribosomal RNA", at positions 793 to 1055 of the family's 1533-position model. The record is from RNAcentral.